CGGGGAGCCAUGGAGGUUUCAGCAGGGGGUUCAUGGUCUGAUUUGUAUUUUAGGGGCAAGAGAAGACAGAAGAGGCUCAGGGAGGAGGCCUGACAACAAGUGCUGGGACACAAUGGAGAGCAAGACAGGUGUGGCCCUGCCCUCUGAUGAUGGCUGAUGUGGUCCGUUCUCCUCAGUUGUUUGACUUUGUCUCCACGUUUCAAACUGAGAUUCCCAGGAGUGAGGAUCUGUUUUCCCAGCCUGGACACAGUGUCUGCUCCAGACCUGCUAAACUGCUGGUUUGGAGGGGCUCCCCAAACAGGCCUGGGCUAAGCAGGAGAGUCAUGUGAGGACAGAACAGUGGCCAGCUCUACACAGGUGGGAGGCACAGUUCCUGUUGUGCAGUUGGGGAAACCGACACCCGCAGGAGUACAGCGAUGUGCUGAGAUCUUGCAGCUGGCAAGGUGGAGAUUCAGGGCUUACAUCAUGUUCUCUUGGACUCUGACUCUGUGGUUUUUCCACAGCUCCACUCCCCAGAGCUUUGCCGUGGCUCCCGCAUCUGUUCCACUGCCACACUUAAUUCUGCUGAGAUGACCAGAGCAGGAAGCAGGAAAGCUGACUUCCCUGAAAGAGAACAAGCCUGGGCCAGCCUGCUGGAGGCCGAAAGACCCUGUGGAGCUGAGCUGACUCUGCCCCUCUGUCUUUGCUAUGACCAGCACAGCCAACCCACAGCUGACCCCUGGGCUGACCACAGUUGCACGAGCAAGCCCAGCCCAAAUCAGAAGGUUGUGCAGCUGCAGCCUUGUAAACCCCUUUGACUGGCAUGAAGGAGCUUUGAUGCUUAUGUGGAAACAUUCCUGGCUGAGACCUGAGACCUGUCUUUUCUUUGCACCAGACAAGAGAGACCUCCGAUCUCCUUUUCACAGUACCUCGUGCACCGAGCAUAAGGCCUGGAGCAUGGCAGGAGGUCUGCUGCAGAUCCCAGUUCAGCCAUUCCAGUCCUCAGGUAAGGCUUCCUUGGUCUCCUUCAAAUCUCCCCACUUCUUCACUGCAUGUGUAAGCUCACACUUCUUUGUGUGACGUAUUGAUUAGUGUCUGUCUCUCCCUCUAGACUGUGAGCCUUAUCAGGCAGGGACCAGUAUGGUUUUGCUUAAUUUCCCUAACACAGUGGCUGUCCCACUGUAGGUGCUCAACAAAAGUGUCAAUAAAUAAGCGGAUGCUGUCCCUGCAGGGUUUUCUCUGAUUCGUGUGCUUCUCUCCCAAGACAGGCUUCCCCCAAGGGCUGGAAUCUGCCUCAGCCAUC
RNAcentral lists this long non-coding RNA (1282 nucleotides) under Homo sapiens (human). RNAcentral describes it as "HSALNT0004134". Lineage: Eukaryota; Metazoa; Chordata; Mammalia; Primates; Hominidae. The record is from RNAcentral.